GCAGCUGUGGUACACUGGUAACGGUGUUCGCUUUCAAAGCGAAUGGUCCUGGGUUCGAUGCCCAUCUGCGCC
Molecule: transfer RNA, 72 nt
Filed under: Culex quinquefasciatus (southern house mosquito)
Lineage: Eukaryota; Metazoa; Arthropoda; Insecta; Diptera; Culicidae
Description: tRNA-Sec
Source: RNAcentral